Molecule: transfer RNA, 76 nt
Filed under: Cervus elaphus hippelaphus
Lineage: Eukaryota; Metazoa; Chordata; Mammalia; Artiodactyla; Cervidae
Description: tRNA-Asn
Source: RNAcentral
UCUCUGGGGCGGAAUCGGCUUGCGCGUUUGGUUGCUAAGCAAAAGAUUUGGUGGUUCAAACCUACACAGGGACGCC